UUUAUUGAAGUAGCUUGUGUUUAGUAUGGGUUAGAAACAAAAUAAUUAAUUAUAGAGAAUGAGUAUUGUUAAAGAAUUAAAUAAAUUUAUUAGAAAGAAUAUUUUAAUUAUAGUAUCUUGUGUAUUAGAGUUUAUUAAAAUUUUUUAAGGAUUUAGAUGUCUCGAAAUUUUAGGGGUAUAUUUAAUUAUUGUUAAUGUUUUAUAAUUAUAAUUAAGUUAAAUAUAGGAAUGAAAAGUUAAUCGUUUAAAAUUAUAUCUAGUUUUUUUAGAAAAAAUUUAAUUUUGUUUAAUAUAUAAUUGAUGUAUUUAGUUAAUAAAUUUAUAUUAUGAUAAUUUUAUAGGGAUAAGCUUAUGAAAUUGGUUAAAUUUUUAAAAAAUUAAUUUAAGUAAGUAGGAUUAAAAUUGGCAUUUUUUAUAGUUUAUUAUAAAUAAAUUAAUAUUAUUAAAGAUUUUUUUUUAAUUAGCUUUGCAUAUAAAAAUAUAUUUUAAAAUAAAAUUUAAGUAGAAAAAAUGAUAAAAUUAGUAAAUUAAGAUAAAAUUAUAUAAAUAAUUUUAAAAAUUAUAUUUAUGAACUAGGCAAAUUUAUUUUCACCUGUUUAUUAAAAACAUGGUUGUUUGAAGUGAAUAAAUGAUCAGGUCUGCCCAUUGAGAUUUAAAAGGCUGCAGUAUAUUGACUGUACAAAGGUAGCAUAAUCAUUAGUUUUUUAAUUGAAAACUUGUAUGAAUGAUUUAAUGAGAAAUAAGCUUUAUUAAUAUGAGUAAUUGAAGUUUAUAUUUGAGUGAAAAAGCUUAAAUUUAAGAGAAAGACGAUAAGACCCUAUAAAAUUUUAUUAAUAAAGUAGUUUAUAAUUAAUAUAUUAAUUUAGUUGGGGCAAUUAAAAGAUUUAAUUCUUUAAAAGAUAAAUUAUGAUGGUAAUAAUUAGGAUCCUUGGUUUGGGAUAUAAGAAAAAAUUGCUUUAGGGAUAACAGGGUAAUGAUUUUUUAUAGUUCAUAUAGAAAAAAGAGUUUGCGACCUC
This 1016-nucleotide ribosomal RNA is filed under the name Paraxenos sp. DPM-2011. RNAcentral describes it as "partial 16S large subunit ribosomal RNA". The record is from RNAcentral. Lineage: Eukaryota; Metazoa; Arthropoda; Insecta; Strepsiptera; Stylopidae.